This 74-nucleotide transfer RNA is filed under the name Clostridium sp. CAG:307. It matches the Rfam family "tRNA". From Rfam's summary of the family: Transfer RNA (tRNA) molecules are approximately 80 nucleotides in length. Their secondary structure includes four short double-helical elements and three loops (D, anti-codon, and T loops). The record is from Rfam by way of RNAcentral. Lineage: Bacteria; Bacillati; Bacillota; Clostridia; Eubacteriales; Clostridiaceae.
GCACCGUUAGAUCAAUUGGAUAGAUCGUUUGGCUACGGACCAAAAGGCUAGGGGUUCGAGUCCUCUACGGUGCG